RNAcentral lists this small RNA (2091 nucleotides) under Pongo abelii (Sumatran orangutan). RNAcentral's name for it is "retained intron". The record is from RNAcentral. Lineage: Eukaryota; Metazoa; Chordata; Mammalia; Primates; Hominidae.
CUGCGCACCGCGUCUCUUCCUUUCUGGGCUCGGACCUACAUCGCGGCGACAUGGUGAGUGUGGGUUACUGUGCGGCCUAGAUCUCUAUCUACCUGCAUCUGUCCUUGUUUUCUUCUCCCGCACCCGUCUCCUCACCUGCUUGCCCCGUGUUCUCUCCUGUCUCCAUGCCUUCGCGGGAGACAUCAUUGUCGGAAGCUGCCCAAGGCGGAGGGGCGGGGGGGGGCGCCUUGGCUGGGCCUGGCGCGCUCCGGCCAGGUUAACGCUGGGCUUUCGGAGCGCGCGGCCAGCUCUGGGCACUGGUUUUGUUGGGUUGAAUUUAGGGAAAACUAGGUCACAUGUAAUUCACAUGUCGGUCACACGUCAGUGAGGUGAAGGAACGGUGUGUGGAGGCCCCGGGGCCUGCCUGGGUUCCAGGUUUAACUAUCACUGGUUUCUCACUUCACUCUGAACAGGCCAAACGUACCAAGAAAGUCGGGAUCGUCGGUAAAUACGGGACCCGCUAUGGGGCCUCCCUCCGGAAAAUGGUGAAGAAGAUUGAAAUCAGCCAGCACGCCAAGUACACUUGCUCUUUUUGUGGCAAAACCAAGAUGAAGAGACGAGCUGUGGGGAUCUGGCACUGUGGUUCCUGCAUGAAGACAGUGGCUGGCGGUGCCUGGACGUACAAGUGAGUCUGUUUCCUUGUAUUUGGAAGUGUGUGGACCACAUAGGCCCAGAUUCCAGGUUGUUGCUGGAUGGGCAAGUUUUAACACUUUCUCAGGACUGAGAGAAUAAGGAUGUCUUUGUAUUUUCAGAAUUCCUCCGUGGUGGUUUAUUUUCAGUUAUUGAAAGAGUAAACACAAAACUACCAAAAUAGAAGUCGGAAAUCUGAUUCACAGACUACUUUAGAAUUUGAUGGUCACUGGGCACAUCGUUGUGAACAUUGUCAUGAUACUGUGCAGGUCCAUUAGUGGGGCUGAAUCUACUGAACGUUGAUUGGCACUGCAAAUUUUGAUAAAAAUAGGUGAAGAGGUCAGUUAGUUCCAAACUGUAUUUGAAAACUUGAGGCCAUAAGGACCACCACAGUUUCAUCUUUCUGAACAGUAUUAGACUGCUGCAGGUUUGUGAAUCUGCAACUCAAUAUCACCUGACAGGGCGAUACUACAAACACUAUACUACAAACUAGUGUCUAGACCUGUGUUGUCCAGUACACUAAGCACAUAUAUGGCUAGUGUAAUUAAAUAAUUGGAUUUUAAAGUUUCAGUCAAUUUAAACUUAAACCGAAGCAGUGGAAAAUGUUGAAAUAUAUAUAUAUUCCUUGUGGGGGUUUUUAUUAGGGCAGAAUGGAAAAUGGGAACUAGAGUGCUUUCUUGGUUCUGAUAGGAAAGUGAAUUAGCAUUUAUAUACUCACCAUAUAGGAUGGUGAUUUUCAGGUAUAGUUCCUGAAUUUUGUGGUAAAACUUUUGUAGUCAUUUCAAUAGCUGUCUUUCCCAAAGGCACUUUAGUGUCCGCUCUGUUUCCUUAAUCAUUGUUCUCACUGUACCAUCUUGUAAUUUAUUGAUUUCUUGUAAUCUGUCCAUGCCCUUUUAAUAAGUUUAGGUCAGCCUCUUAGAACCAUUUCUUUUUCAUGGGAUGGGGUAGGGGGAGUUAAAGCUAGCUUGUCCACAACUGAGUUACUUUAAAAAAAAAAAAAAAAACUCUGGUUGAGAAAUCAGAUGCAUGAGAUUGUAUGUCUAAUUCUGCAAGAUCCUGAAGGCAUGGCUCUUAAAGGAUGCCAUCAUGUAGUUUAGAAGCCACUAAUAUCCGAGGAGUAACCUAAUGUUGGUUAGAUCUUUGGAUUGACUGCGGCAAAGUAUUGGUAGAGCAGUCUAUCUCAGUAUAAUUCUUUCUAGGAAAAUUUGGGAAGAGACUUUAACACAAAAACGAGGCAGAUUUACUUAUUUGCCAUUUUCUAUGUUAACAUGCUUAAUUAUGUUGGAAACUGAAUCUUUCUUUCCAGUACCACUUCCGCUGUCACGGUAAAGUCCGCCAUCAGAAGACUGAAGGAGUUGAAAGACCAGUAGACGCUCAUCUACUCUUUGAGACAUGACUGGCCUAUAAUAAAUGAGUUAAUUU